This 71-nucleotide transfer RNA is filed under the name Drypetes similis. RNAcentral describes it as "Sibangea similis tRNA-Gly". It matches the Rfam family "tRNA". Rfam says of the family: Transfer RNA (tRNA) molecules are approximately 80 nucleotides in length. Their secondary structure includes four short double-helical elements and three loops (D, anti-codon, and T loops). RNAcentral also lists the same sequence under 4 other names. Lineage: Eukaryota; Viridiplantae; Streptophyta; Magnoliopsida; Malpighiales; Putranjivaceae. The record is from RNAcentral.
GCGGAUAUGGUUUAAUGGUAAAAUUUCUCUUUGCCAAGGAGAAGACGUGGGUUCGAUUCCCGCUAUCCGCC